UACAGAGGGGGCAAGCGUUGUUCGGAAUUACUGGGCGUAAAGGGCGCGUAGGCGGCCUGUUAAGUCGAACGUGAAAUCCCCGGGCUCAACCCGGGAACUGCGUCCGAUACUGGCAGGCUUGAAUCCGGGAGAGGGAUGCGGAAUUCCAGGUGUAGCGGUGGAAUGCGCAGAUAUCAGGAAGAACACCAACGGCGAAGGCAGCUCGCUGGGACGGUACUGACGCUGGAGACGCGAAAGCGUGGGAGCGAACAGG
This 253-nucleotide ribosomal RNA is filed under the name uncultured bacterium. RNAcentral describes it as "partial 16S ribosomal RNA". It matches the Rfam family "Bacterial small subunit ribosomal RNA", at positions 524 to 776 of the family's 1533-position model. The record is from RNAcentral.